This 253-nucleotide ribosomal RNA is filed under the name uncultured microorganism. Its description in RNAcentral is "partial 16S ribosomal RNA". It matches the Rfam family "Bacterial small subunit ribosomal RNA", at positions 524 to 776 of the family's 1533-position model. The record is from RNAcentral.
UACGGAGGGUGCGAGCGUUAUUCGGAAUCACUGGGCGUAAAGCGUGCGCAGGCGGCCCGUUAAGACAGGUGUGAAAUCCCUGGGCUCAACCUAGGAAUUGCGCUUGUGACUGGCGGGCUCGAGUACGGUAGAGGGGGGUAGAAUUCCAGGUGUAGCGGUGAAAUGCGUAGAGAUCUGGAGGAAUACCGGUGGCGAAGGCGGCCCCCUGGACAAAGACUGACGCUCAUGCACGAAAGCGUGGGGAGCAAACAGG